UUAAAUUAAUUCAUACUAAUAUAAAGUUCAAAAAAAUGGUGCAAGCCUUAUAUAAUGAUUUAAGUAUUCAUACCCCUUUUAGUCAUUACACACUCAAAAGCAAUUCUAAUCAAAGAUAUCCAAACAAAAUUUUCUUACUAAAAUCACGUUCUUGUAACUGUAUCCAAACAUAAAUCACGUCACUCAAACUCACGUUUACCGGAUCCAAUUCUGCCAGAUCCACUUCUGACCAGAUCCAAUUCUGCUAACGCUCAUCCAAACAC
Molecule: long non-coding RNA, 263 nt
Filed under: Lotus japonicus
Lineage: Eukaryota; Viridiplantae; Streptophyta; Magnoliopsida; Fabales; Fabaceae
Description: long non-coding RNA (LJAP_LNC002212)
Source: RNAcentral